UCCCUCUGCCGCUUGGUCCUCCGACCCUGGAGGGACGAUCCCGCUCAGGUCGAGCUCCGGGUGCAGAUUCUGGAUCGCUUCUCGGGCAUCCUCAUACCCCACCCGGUAGGAGGCAAAGCCGCUCUCGAGGAGAUCCUCUUGGUACUCCUCCGAACCACAGAAGUCCUCCGUCGCCCGACCCAGUGCCUCCCUGGCCGACUCCGCCUCCGCCUUCAAUAUGUCGGCGUCGGCCUGGGUGGAGGACAGGUUCUCCUCAGCCUUGGCCAGGUUCUCCAGGCUAACGCGAAGCUGUUCGCACUCGGCCUCGAGUUCCCUAACGCAGCCAUCCCUCUCGUGCCUCAGUCGGUGAACGGAGCGGGUCUUGCACCGAACCUGCUCGCGGGCCGACUGAAGUUCGGCCUCUGAGGCGGCUAGGCCGUUGGUAAGUCGAGAGAUCUCCUCCUCGAGCCUAGCCUCACGGUCGACCGACGACUUCAGUUGGUCGACUAGCGUCGCCUUCUCAGCCUCGACGAUCUCUGCCUUCUUCUUCCAGGCCGUCUGGAUGUCGUCGAACCUCCGGUACCCGACCUCCAGCUCCGAUAUAUUAUAGAUCAGCUGUGGACGGAAGGCCGACUGUCAGAAGACCGAAUUGAUGGAAAAUAAUAAUGAAGAGG
RNAcentral lists this long non-coding RNA (653 nucleotides) under Elaeis guineensis (African oil palm). Its description in RNAcentral is "long non-coding RNA (EGUI_LNC016066)". The record is from RNAcentral. Lineage: Eukaryota; Viridiplantae; Streptophyta; Magnoliopsida; Arecales; Arecaceae.